This 1363-nucleotide ribosomal RNA is filed under the name Salmonella enterica. RNAcentral describes it as "partial 23S ribosomal RNA". It matches the Rfam family "Bacterial large subunit ribosomal RNA", at positions 1589 to 2925 of the family's 2925-position model. The record is from RNAcentral. RNAcentral also lists the same sequence under 1 other name. Lineage: Bacteria; Pseudomonadati; Pseudomonadota; Gammaproteobacteria; Enterobacterales; Enterobacteriaceae.
AGCAACAAAUGCCCUGCUUCCAGGAAAAGCCUCUAAGCAUCAGGUAACAUCAAAUCGUACCCCAAACCGACACAGGUGGUCAGGUAGAGAAUACCAAGGCGCUUGAGAGAACUCGGGUGAAGGAACUAGGCAAAAUGGUGCCGUAACUUCGGGAGAAGGCACGCUGACAUGUAGGUGAAGUGAUUUACUCAUGGAGCUGAAGUCAGUCGAAGAUACCAGCUGGCUGCAACUGUUUAUUAAAAACACAGCACUGUGCAAACACGAAAGUGGACGUAUACGGUGUGACGCCUGCCCGGUGCCGGAAGGUUAAUUGAUGGGGUCAGCGCAAGCGAAGCUCCUGAUCGAAGCCCCGGUAAACGGCGGCCGUAACUAUAACGGUCCUAAGGUAGCGAAAUUCCUUGUCGGGUAAGUUCCGACCUGCACGAAUGGCGUAAUGAUGGCCAGGCUGUCUCCACCCGAGACUCAGUGAAAUUGAACUCGCUGUGAAGAUGCAGUGUACCCGCGGCAAGACGGAAAGACCCCGUGAACCUUUACUAUAGCUUGACACUGAACAUUGAGCCUUGAUGUGUAGGAUAGGUGGGAGGCUUUGAAGUGUGGACGCCAGUCUGCAUGGAGCCGACCUUGAAAUACCACCCUUUAAUGUUUGAUGUUCUAACGUGGACCCGUGAUCCGGGUUGCGGACAGUGUCUGGUGGGUAGUUUGACUGGGGCGGUCUCCUCCUAAAGAGUAACGGAGGAGCACGAAGGUUGGCUAAUCCUGGUCGGACAUCAGGAGGUUAGUGCAAUGGCAUAAGCCAGCUUGACUGCGAGCGUGACGGCGCGAGCAGGUGCGAAAGCAGGUCAUAGUGAUCCGGUGGUUCUGAAUGGAAGGGCCAUCGCUCAACGGAUAAAAGGUACUCCGGGGAUAACAGGCUGAUACCGCCCAAGAGUUCAUAUCGACGGCGGUGUUUGGCACCUCGAUGUCGGCUCAUCACAUCCUGGGGCUGAAGUAGGUCCCAAGGGUAUGGCUGUUCGCCAUUUAAAGUGGUACGCGAGCUGGGUUUAGAACGUCGUGAGACAGUUCGGUCCCUAUCUGCCGUGGGCGCUGGAGAACUGAGGGGGGCUGCUCCUAGUACGAGAGGACCGGAGUGGACGCAUCACUGGUGUUCGGGUUGUCAUGCCAAUGGCACUGCCCGGUAGCUAAAUGCGGAAGAGAUAAGUGCUGAAAGCAUCUAAGCACGAAACUUGCCCCGAGAUGAGUUCUCCCUGAGACUUUAGGUCUCCUGAAGGAACGUUGAAGACGACGACGUUGAUAGGCCGGGUGUGUAAGCGCAGCGAUGCGUUGAGCUAACCGGUACUAAUGAACCGUGAGGCUUAACCUUACA